RNAcentral lists this ribosomal RNA (222 nucleotides) under Triticum aestivum (bread wheat). RNAcentral's name for it is "partial small subunit ribosomal RNA". The record is from RNAcentral. Lineage: Eukaryota; Viridiplantae; Streptophyta; Magnoliopsida; Poales; Poaceae.
AUGGAGGUGAUGGGUAUUUCGAAUCUUUGGUUGGAACCUUCAUUUUGCGUUAAAUUCACAUGGUAUUCAGUUAUCUCCAUUAUUGCCAGUAGCAAUGCACAAGCACUUUCUAUUAAAUGCACAUGCUAUUUUCUUUUGUAUCAUGUCAUUUUGUGGUCAUUAACAAUCAGAUGGAUGAAACUGAUCUUGUUUUGUGCAUCAUGGAUUUUCUCAACUGAAUGA